GGAAGGAUCAUUAUUGAAUUAUGUUUCUAGAUGGGUUGUCGCUGGCUCUUUGGAGCAUGUGCACGCCUGUUUGGACUUCAUUUUCAUCCACCUGUGCACCUAUUGUAGUCUUUGGUCGGGUUAUUGAGGAAGUGGUCAGUCUAUCAGCAUUAGCUGGAUUUGAGGACUUGCGGUGCGAAAGUAGUGCUGUCCUUUACUUGGCCAUGGAGUCUUKUUCCUGCCAGAGUCUAUGUCAUUCAUUAUACCCUAUAGAAUGUCAUUGAAUGUCUUURCAUGGGCUUGUAUGCCUAUGAAAWUUGUAAUACAACUUUCAGCAACGGAUCUCUUGGCUCUCGCAUCGAUGAAGAACGCAGCGAAAUGCGAUAAGUAAUGUGAAUUGCAGAAUUCAGUGAAUCAUCGAAUCUUUGAACGCAUCUUGCGCUCCUUGGUAUUCCGAGGAGCAUGCCUGUUUGAGUGUCAUUAAAUUCUCAACUCUCCUAUACUUUGUUGUGAAGGAGGGCUUGGAUUGUGGAGGUUUGCUGGCCACAUGUGUUGAGGUCAGCUCCUCUGAAAUGCAUUAGCGGAACCGUUUGCGAUCUGCCACAAGUGUGAUAAACUAUCUACACUGGCGAGGGGAUUGCUCUCUGUGCUGUUCAGCUUCYAAUCGUCUCAGUUUGUKUGAGACAACWUUUCUGAAUGCUUGACCUCAAAUCAGGUAGGACUACCCGCUGAACUUAA
RNAcentral lists this ribosomal RNA (717 nucleotides) under Agaricus tennesseensis. RNAcentral's name for it is "eukaryotic LSU rRNA". The stretch from base 306 to 459 matches the Rfam family "5.8S ribosomal RNA". The record is from RNAcentral. Lineage: Eukaryota; Fungi; Basidiomycota; Agaricomycetes; Agaricales; Agaricaceae.